ACACUCCUGCGGGAGGCAGCAGUGGGGAAUAUUGGACAAUGGGCGCAAGCCUGAUCCAGCCAUGCCGCGUGAGUGAUGAAGGCCCUAGGGUUGUAAAGCUCUUUCACCGGAGAAGAUAAUGACGGUAUCCGGAGAAGAAGCCCCGGCUAACUUCGUGCCAGCAGCCGCGGUAAUACGAAGGGGGCUAGCGUUGUUCGGAAUUACUGGGCGUAAAGCGCACGUAGGCGGAUCGAUCAGUCAGGGGUGAAAUCCCAGGGCUCAACCCUGGAACUGCCUUUGAUACUGUCGAUCUGGAGUAUGGAAGAGGUGAGUGGAAUUCCGAGUGUAGAGGUGAAAUUCGUAGAUAUUCGGAGGAACACCAGUGGCGAAGGCGGCUCACUGGUCCAUUACUGACGCUGAGGUGCGAAAGCGUGGGGAGCAAACAGGAUUAGAUACCCCGGUAGUCCCAUGA
This 451-nucleotide ribosomal RNA is filed under the name uncultured organism. Its description in RNAcentral is "partial 16S ribosomal RNA". It matches the Rfam family "Bacterial small subunit ribosomal RNA", at positions 333 to 800 of the family's 1533-position model. The record is from RNAcentral.